GGCACUGUGGCGUAAUGGUUAACGCGUCUGGCUUCGACUGCCUUGCUAUACCAUAACCAGAAGACUGCAGGUUCGAGUCCUGUCUGUGUCA
Molecule: non-coding RNA, 91 nt
Organism: Phellopilus nigrolimitatus
Lineage: Eukaryota; Fungi; Basidiomycota; Agaricomycetes; Hymenochaetales; Hymenochaetaceae
Source: the annotation of a GenBank genome assembly